Molecule: transfer RNA, 72 nt
Filed under: Loxodonta africana (African savanna elephant)
Lineage: Eukaryota; Metazoa; Chordata; Mammalia; Proboscidea; Elephantidae
Rfam family: tRNA
About the family: Transfer RNA (tRNA) molecules are approximately 80 nucleotides in length. Their secondary structure includes four short double-helical elements and three loops (D, anti-codon, and T loops). Further hydrogen bonds mediate the characteristic L-shaped molecular structure. tRNAs have two regions of fundamental functional importance: the anti-codon, which is responsible for specific mRNA codon recognition, and the 3' end, to which the tRNAs corresponding amino acid is attached (by aminoacyl-tRNA synthetases). tRNAs cope with the degeneracy of the genetic code in two manners: having more than one tRNA (with a specific anti-codon) for a particular amino acid; and 'wobble' base-pairing, i.e. permitting non-standard base-pairing at the 3rd anti-codon position.
Source: Rfam by way of RNAcentral
GCCCUGGUGGCACAACGGUCGAGUACUUGGCUGCUAACCGAGAGGUUGGUGAUUCGAACCCACCCAGCAGCU